GGGCCGUUAGCUCAGUUGGUAGAGCACCGGACUUUUAAUCCGUUGGUCGAAGGUUCGAACCCUUCACGGCCCACCA
RNAcentral lists this transfer RNA (76 nucleotides) under Gammaproteobacteria bacterium. Its description in RNAcentral is "tRNA-Lys". It matches the Rfam family "tRNA". From Rfam's summary of the family: Transfer RNA (tRNA) molecules are approximately 80 nucleotides in length. Their secondary structure includes four short double-helical elements and three loops (D, anti-codon, and T loops). The record is from RNAcentral. RNAcentral also lists the same sequence under 1 other name. Lineage: Bacteria; Pseudomonadati; Pseudomonadota; Gammaproteobacteria.